GUCACGGCUUAACUACGUGCCAGCAGCCGCGGUAAUACGUAGGUGGCAAGCGUUGUCCGGAUUUAUUGGGCGUAAAGCGAGCGCAGGCGGAAGAAUAAGUCUGAUGUGAAAGCCCUCGGCUUAACCGAGGAACUGCAUCGGAAACUGUUUUUCUUGAGUGCAGAAGAGGAGAGUGGAACUCCAUGUGUAGCGGUGGAAUGCGUAGAUAUAUGGAAGAACACCAGUGGCGAAGGCGGCUCUCUGGUCUGCAACUGACGCUGAGGCUCGAAAGCAUGGGUAGCGAACAGGAUUAGAUACCCUGGUAGUCCAUGCCGUAAACGAUGAGUGCUAAGUGUUGGGAGGUUUCCGCCUCUCAGUGCUGCAGCUAACGCAUUAAGCACUCCGCCUGGGGAGUACGACCGCAAGGUUGAAACUCAAAGGAAUUGACGGGGGCCCGCACAAGCGGUGGAGCAUGUGGUUUAAUUCGAAGCAACGCGAAGAACCUUACCAGGUCUUGACAUCUAGUGCCAUUUGUAGAGAUACAAAGUUCCCUUCGGGGACGCUAAGACAGGUGGUGCAUGGCUGUCGUCAGCUACGUUCGU
Molecule: ribosomal RNA, 581 nt
Filed under: Lactobacillus crispatus
Lineage: Bacteria; Bacillati; Bacillota; Bacilli; Lactobacillales; Lactobacillaceae
Description: bacterial SSU rRNA
Rfam family: Bacterial small subunit ribosomal RNA
Source: RNAcentral